GACGAACGCUGGCGGCGUGUUUAACACAUGCAAGUCGAACGGAAAGGCCCCCACCUUGGUGGGGGUGCUCGAGUGGCGAACGGGUGAGUAACACGUGGGUGAUCUGCCCUGUACUUCGGGAUAAGCUUGGGAAACUGGGUCUAAUACCGGAUAGGACCAUGGUUUAGUGUCUCAUGGUGGAAAAAUUAUUGUUUUGGUGCAGGAUGAGCUCGCGGCCUAUCAGCUUGUUGGUGGGGUAAUGGCCUACCAAGGCGUCGACGGGUAGCCGGCCUGAGAGGGUGGACGGCCACAUUGGGACUGAGAUACGGCCCAGACUCCUACGGGAGGCAGCAGUGGGGAAUAUUGCACAAUGGGCGCAAGCCUGAUGCAGCGACGCCGCGUGGGGGAUGACGGCCUUCGGGUUGUAAACUCCUUUCGUUAGGGACGAAGCCACACCUUUUUUGGGUGUGGUGACGGUACCUUUGUUAAGAAGCACCGGCUAACUACGUG
This 489-nucleotide ribosomal RNA is filed under the name uncultured bacterium. Its description in RNAcentral is "partial 16S ribosomal RNA". It matches the Rfam family "Bacterial small subunit ribosomal RNA", at positions 28 to 507 of the family's 1533-position model. The record is from RNAcentral.